Molecule: ribosomal RNA, 253 nt
Filed under: uncultured bacterium
Lineage: Bacteria
Description: partial 16S ribosomal RNA
Rfam family: Bacterial small subunit ribosomal RNA
Source: RNAcentral
UACGGAGGGGGCUAGCGUUGUUCGGAGUUACUGGGCGUAAAGCGCACGUAGGCGGCUUUGUAAGUUAGAGGUGAAAGCCCAGGGCUUAACCCUGGAAUUGCCUUUAAGACUGCAUCGCUAGAAUCGUGGAGAGGUGAGUGGAAUUCCGAGUGUAGAGGUGAAAUUCGUAGAUAUUCGGAAGAACACCAGUGGCGAAGGCGGCUCACUGGCCCGUUACCGACGCUCAGGCGCGACAGCGUGGGGAGCAAACAGG